This 468-nucleotide ribosomal RNA is filed under the name uncultured bacterium. RNAcentral describes it as "partial 16S ribosomal RNA". It matches the Rfam family "Bacterial small subunit ribosomal RNA", at positions 28 to 507 of the family's 1533-position model. The record is from RNAcentral.
GACGAACGCUGGCGGCGUGCUUAACACAUGCAAGUCGAACGGAAAGGCCCUGCUUUUGUGGGGUGCUCGAGUGGCGAACGGGUGAGUAACACGUGAGUAACCUGCCCUUGACUUUGGGAUAACUUCAGGAAACUGGGGCUAAUACCGGAUAGGAGCUCCUGCUGCAUGGUGGGGGUUGGAAAGUUUCGGCGGUUGGGGAUGGACUCGCGGCUUAUCAGCUUGUUGGUGGGGUAGUGGCUUACCAAGGCUUUGACGGGUAGCCGGCCUGAGAGGGUGACCGGCCACAUUGGGACUGAGAGACGGCCCAGACUCCUACGGGAGGCAGCAGUGGGGAAUAUUGCACAAUGGGCGGAAGCCUGAGGCAGCAACGCCGCGUGCGGGAUGACGGCCUUCGGGUUGUAAACCGCUUUCGCAUGUGACGAAGCGUGAGUGACGGUAAUGGGUAAAGAAGCACCGGCUAACUACGUG